Molecule: transfer RNA, 72 nt
Filed under: Ipomoea nil (Japanese morning glory)
Lineage: Eukaryota; Viridiplantae; Streptophyta; Magnoliopsida; Solanales; Convolvulaceae
Rfam family: tRNA
About the family: Transfer RNA (tRNA) molecules are approximately 80 nucleotides in length. Their secondary structure includes four short double-helical elements and three loops (D, anti-codon, and T loops).
Source: Rfam by way of RNAcentral
GUCGUUGUAGUAUAGUGGCGAGUAUCCUCGCCUGUCAUGUGGGAGAUCCUGGUUCGAUCCCCGGCAACGUUG